CAAAUCCUCAUGGCCCUUACGCCUGGGGCUAGACACGUGCUACAAUGGGCGGCACAAAGCGGGGCGAGCCCGAGAGGGCAGAGCGAAGCGCAGAAAGCCGCCCGUAGUCCGGAUUGAAGUCUGAAACCCGACUUCAUGAAGCUGGAAUCGCUAGUAAUCGCGCAUCAGCAUGGCCGCGGUCGAAUACGUUCCCGGGCCUU
This 200-nucleotide ribosomal RNA is filed under the name uncultured prokaryote. RNAcentral describes it as "partial 16S ribosomal RNA". It matches the Rfam family "Bacterial small subunit ribosomal RNA", at positions 1186 to 1382 of the family's 1533-position model. The record is from RNAcentral.